GAUAAACGCUGGCGGCGCACAUAAGACAUGCAAGUCGAACGGAAGUCGUUAUACUGAUUUUGAAAUGAACUGAGAACUUGUUCAAAGGGACUUGAUGAAGAUUUAUAACAAUGGCUUUAGUGGCGGACUGGUGAGUAACACGUAAGCAACCUGCCUAUUAGAGGGGAAUAACAAUGAGAAAUCAUUGCUAAUACCGCAUAAGCUUGUAGGACCGCAUGGUCUAGCAAGAAAAGGAGCAAUCCGCUAAUAGAUGGGCUUGCGGCUGAUUAGCUAGUUGGUUAGGUAACGGCUGACCAAGGCGACGAUCAGUAGCCGGGCUGAGAGGCUCUUCGGCCACAUUGGGACUGAGAUACGGCCCAGACUCC
RNAcentral lists this ribosomal RNA (365 nucleotides) under uncultured Oscillospiraceae bacterium. RNAcentral describes it as "bacterial SSU rRNA". It matches the Rfam family "Bacterial small subunit ribosomal RNA", at positions 28 to 339 of the family's 1533-position model. Lineage: Bacteria; Bacillati; Bacillota; Clostridia; Eubacteriales; Oscillospiraceae. The record is from RNAcentral.